This 520-nucleotide ribosomal RNA is filed under the name uncultured Glomus. Its description in RNAcentral is "SSU rRNA". It matches the Rfam family "Eukaryotic small subunit ribosomal RNA", at positions 569 to 1092 of the family's 1831-position model. Lineage: Eukaryota; Fungi; Glomeromycota; Glomeromycetes; Glomerales; Glomeraceae. The record is from RNAcentral.
AGCAGCCGCGGUAAUUCCAGCUCCAAUAGCGUAUAUUAAAGUUGUUGCAGUUAAAAAGCUCGUAGUUGAAUUUCGGGAUCAAUACGUCGGUCGUGCUUCGGUACGUACUGGCGUCAUUGAUUUCUCCCUUCUGACGAACCAUGAUGUCAUUAACUUGGUGUCAUGGGAAAUCAGGACUGUUACUUUGAAAAAAUUAGAGUGUUUAAAGCAGGCUCACGCUUGAAUACAUUAGCAUGGAAUAAUGAAAUAGGACGUUCGAUCCUAUUUUGUUGGUUUUAGGAUCAACGUAAUGAUUAAUAGGGAUAGUUGGGGGCAUUAGUAUUCAAUUGUCAGAGGUGAAAUUCUUGGAUUUAUUGAAGACUAACUACUGCGAAAGCAUUUGCCAAGGAUGUUUUCAUUAAUCAAGAACGAAAGUUAGGGGAUCGAAGACGAUCAGAUACCGUCGUAGUCUUAACCAUAAACUAUGCCGACUAGGAAUCGGAUGAUGUUAAUUUUUUAAUGACUCAUUCGGCGCCUUACG